AGCGAACGCUGGCGGCAGGCUUAACACAUGCAAGUCGAGCGGGCAUCCUCGUGGUGUCAGCGGCAGACGGGUGAGUAACGCGUGGGAACGUGCCCUUCGGUUCGGAAUAACUCAGGGAAACUUGAGCUAAUACCGGAUACGCCCUUUUGGGGAAAGGUUUAUCUGCCGAAGGAUCGGCCCGCGUCUGAUUAGCUGGUUGGUGAGGUUACGGCUCACCAAGGCGACGAUCAGUAGCUGGUCUGAGAGGAUGAUCAGCCACACUGGGACUGAGACACGGCCCAGACUCCUACGGGAGGCAGCAGUGGGGAAUAUUGGACAAUGGGGGCAACCCUGAUCCAGCCAUGCCGCGUGAGUGAUGACGGCCUUAGGGUUGUAAAGCUCUUUUCUCCGGGACGAUAAUGACGGUACCGGAGGAAUAAGCCCCGGCUAACUUCGUGCCAGCCGCCGCGGUAA
RNAcentral lists this ribosomal RNA (453 nucleotides) under uncultured bacterium. RNAcentral's name for it is "partial 16S ribosomal RNA". It matches the Rfam family "Bacterial small subunit ribosomal RNA", at positions 29 to 523 of the family's 1533-position model. The record is from RNAcentral.